AGGGAAUAUUGCACAAUGGACGGAAGUCUGAUGCAGCGACGCCGCGUGGACGAAGAAGGCCUUCGGGUUGUAAAGUCCUUUUCAGGGGGAAGAGAGAGGACGGUACCCUUGGAAUAAGCGUCGGCUAACUACGUGCCAGCAGCCGCGGUAAGACGUAGGACGCGAGCGUUAUCCGGAUUUACUGGGCGUAAAGCGUCUGUAGGCGGGACGGUAAGUUGGGCGUGAAAGCUUCGGGCUUAACCCGGAGAGGACGUACAAGACUGCUGAACUAGAGGCCACCAGAGGGGCGUGGAAUUUCCGGUGUAGCGGUAAAAUGCGCAGAUAUCGGAAGGAACACCAGUGGCGAAGGCGGCGCCCUGGGGUGGGCCUGACGCUAAGAGACGAAAGCUAGGGGAGCGAACAG
RNAcentral lists this ribosomal RNA (403 nucleotides) under uncultured bacterium. RNAcentral describes it as "bacterial SSU rRNA". It matches the Rfam family "Bacterial small subunit ribosomal RNA", at positions 356 to 775 of the family's 1533-position model. The record is from RNAcentral.